AUGCAGUCGAACGGCAGCACGGGGGCAACCCUGGUGGCGAGUGGCGAACGGGUGAGUAAUACAUCGGAACGUGUCCUGUAGUGGGGGAUAGCCCGGCGAAAGCCGGAUUAAUACCGCAUACGCUCUACGGAGGAAAGGGGGGGAUCUUAGGACCUCUCGCUACAGGGGCGGCCGAUGGCAGAUUAGCUAGUUGGUGGGGUAAAGGCCUACCAAGGCGACGAUCUGUAGCUGGUCUGAGAGGACGACCAGCCACACUGGGACUGAGACACGGCCCAGACUCCUACGGGAGGCAGCAGUGGGGAAUUUUGGACAAUGGGGGCAACCCUGAUCCAGCAAUGCCGCGUGUGUGAAGAAGGCCUUCGGGUUGUAAAGCACUUUUGUCCGGAAAGAAAACUUCUGCCCUAAUACGGCGGGAGGAUGACGGUACCGGAAGAAUAAGCACCGGCUAAC
This 450-nucleotide ribosomal RNA is filed under the name Burkholderia sp. MRh3(32). RNAcentral describes it as "bacterial SSU rRNA". It matches the Rfam family "Bacterial small subunit ribosomal RNA", at positions 55 to 501 of the family's 1533-position model. Lineage: Bacteria; Pseudomonadati; Pseudomonadota; Betaproteobacteria; Burkholderiales; Burkholderiaceae. The record is from RNAcentral.